Molecule: ribosomal RNA, 1396 nt
Filed under: Celleporaria agglutinans
Lineage: Eukaryota; Metazoa; Bryozoa; Gymnolaemata; Cheilostomatida; Lepraliellidae
Description: SSU rRNA
Rfam family: Eukaryotic small subunit ribosomal RNA
Source: RNAcentral
CGACGGUUGGUGCUAUGCCAACCGUGGCGUUAACGGAUAACAGAGAAUCUGGGUUCGAUUCUGGAGAGGCCGCAUGAGAAACGGCGACCACUUCCAAGGAAGGCAGCAGGCACGCAAAUUACCCACUUCGGACACCGAGAGGUAGUGACGAACAAUACCGAUGCGGCGCACUAACGUGUCGCCGUAAUCGGAAUGAGUACACUUCAAAUCCUUUAACGAGGAUCCACUGGAGGGCAAGCCUGGUGCCAGCAGCCGCGGUAAUUCCAGCUCCAGCAGCGUAUAUUUAUAUUGCUGCGUUUAAAAAGCUCGUAGUUGAAGCGUCAGACCCGGGAGGGCGGACGGCCGCACUGGUCGCUCUCGCCCGACCGAGCCAGGCGCAGAGGGCGCGCGUCGCUUGCACUUCGCCGUGUGAGCGCGCCGCCGCUGCACGUUCACCUUGAAGAAAUUGAACCGCUUAGAGGGGGCGAGCAGCUUGAACAGCUCAGCAUGGUAUGAUGGAACAUGGGCUCGUACUCAUUUUGUUGGUUAGAGAGUUCGCGAGCCAAUGAUUAACAGGGACUGCCGGGGGCAUUCGUACUCGGACGGGAGAGGUGAAAUUCAAGGAUCGUCCGAAGACGCCCUACUGCGAAAGCAUUUGCCAAGAAUGUUUUCAUUAAUCAAGAACGAAAGUCAGAGGUGCGAAGGCGAUCAGAUACCGCCGUAGUUCUGACCGUAAACGAUGCCGACUGGCAAUUGGGCGCACUUCUAUAGAAGUUGCUGCCAGCAGUAUUGCCCGGGAAACCAAAGUCAUUGGGUUCCGGGGGGAGUAUGGUUGCAAAGCUGAAACUUAAAGGAAUUGACGGAAGGGCACCACCAGGAGUGGAGCCUGCGGCUUAAUUUGACUCAACACGGGAAACCUCACCCGGCCCGAACACUGUUAUGACAGACAGGUUGAGAGCUCUUUCUCGAUUCAGUGGUUGGUGGUGCAUGGCCGUUCUUAGUUCGUGGAGCGAUCUGUCUGGUUAAUUCCGAUAACGAACGAGACUCUUGCCUGCUAAAUAGACGGCGCCGCCCUGGUCGGCGACCGUUCGCUUCUUAGAGGGACAAGCGGCUUUCAGCCGCGUGAAGCCGAGAGCAAUAACAGGUCAGUGAUGCCCUCAGAUGUUCGGGGCCGCACGCGCGCUACACUGUUUGCAUCAGCGUGUUUCUCCCGCGCCGGCUGGCGUGGGCAACCCGUUGAACCGCAAACGUGCUAGGGAUCGGAGAUUGCAAUUAUUCUCCGUGAACGAGGAAUUCCUUGUACUGGCGAGUCAUCAGCUCGCGGGGAAUCUGUCCCUGCCCUUUGUACACACCGCCCGUCGCUACUACCGAUUGAGUGGUUUAGUGAGGCUCACGGACUGCGCGCGGCACACGGCGC